This 820-nucleotide ribosomal RNA is filed under the name uncultured Actinomycetes bacterium. RNAcentral's name for it is "bacterial SSU rRNA". It matches the Rfam family "Bacterial small subunit ribosomal RNA", at positions 71 to 902 of the family's 1533-position model. The record is from RNAcentral. Lineage: Bacteria; Bacillati; Actinomycetota; Actinomycetes.
AACGGGGCUUCGGCCCCGGGAUCAGUGGCGAACGGGUGCGUAACACGUGGGCAACCUGCCCCUCACUCUGGGAUAACCCCGGGAAACCGGAGCUAAUACCGGAUACUCCGCUCCCACCGCAUGGCGGGAUCGGGAAAGGUCCGCCGGUGAGGGAUGGGCCCGCGGCCUAUCAGCUUGUUGGUGGGGUAACGGCCCACCAAGGCGACGACGGGUAGCUGGUCUGAGAGGACGACCAGCCACACUGGGACUGAGAUACGGCCCAGACUCCUACGGGAGGCAGCAGUGGGGAAUCUUGCACAAUGGGCGAAAGCCUGAUGCAGCGACGCCGCGUGAGGGAUGAAGGCCCUCGGGUUGUAAACCUCUUUCGGCAGGGACGAAGCGAUCGUGACGGUACCUGCAGAAGAAGCCUCGGCUAACUACGUGCCAGCAGCCGCGGUAAGACGUAGGAGGCGAGCGUUGUCCGGAUUCAUUGGGCGUAAAGAGCGCGCAGGCGGCUUGGUAAGUCGGAUGUGAAAACCCGAGGCUCAACCUCGGACGUGCAUCCGAAACUGCCCGGCUAGAGGUAGGUAGGGGAGAUCGGAAUUCCUGGUGUAGCGGUGAAAUGCGCAGAUAUCAGGAGGAACACCGGUGGCGAAGGCGGAUCUCUGGGCCUUACCUGACGCUCAGGCGCGAAAGCUAGGGGAGCGAACUGGAUUAGAUACCCAGGUAGUCCUAGCUGUAAACGUUGGGUGCUAGGUGUGGGCGGAUAUCGACCCCGUCCGUGCCGAAGCUAACGCAUUAAGCACCCCGCCUGGGGAGUACGGCCGCAAGGCUAAAACUC